GGCCUGGCUGGGCGGUCUUGCCGAAAGGUAAGCACUGCUCUGGUCGGGUCUUUCCUUCUGGGGAACCAACGUGCUCUUGAUUGAGUGCGUUGGGGAUCCAGGACUUUUACCUUGAAAAAAUUAGAGUGUUCAAAGCAGGCUUACGUCUGAAUACAUUAGCAUGGAAUAAUAAAAUAGGAC
This 180-nucleotide ribosomal RNA is filed under the name uncultured Glomeromycotina. RNAcentral's name for it is "partial small subunit ribosomal RNA". The stretch from base 90 to 180 matches the Rfam family "Eukaryotic small subunit ribosomal RNA", at positions 735 to 828 of the family's 1831-position model. The record is from RNAcentral. Lineage: Eukaryota; Fungi; Glomeromycota.